GACGAACGCUGGCGGCGUGCUUAACACAUGCAAGUCGAACGGAAAGGCCCUGCUUUUGUGGGGUGCUCGAGUGGCGAACGGGUGAGUAACACGUGAGUAACCUGCCCUUGACUUUGGGAUAACUUCAGGAAACUGGGGCUAAUACCGGAUAGGAGCUCCUGUUGCAUGGUGGGGGUUGGAAAGUUUCGGCGGUUGGGGAUGGACUCGCGGCUUAUCAGCUUGUUGGUGGGGUAGUGGCUUACCAAGGCUUUGACGGGUAGCCGGCCUGAGAGGGUGACCGGCCACAUUGGGACUGAGAUACGGCCCAGACUCCUACGGGAGGCAGCAGUGGGGAAUAUUGCACAAUGGGCGGAAGCCUGAUGCAGAAACGCCGCGUGCGGGAUGCCGGCCUUCGGGUUGUAAACCGCUUUCGCCUGUGACGAAGCGUGAGUGACGGUAAUGGGUAAAGAAGCACCGGCUAACUACGUG
This 468-nucleotide ribosomal RNA is filed under the name uncultured bacterium. RNAcentral describes it as "partial 16S ribosomal RNA". It matches the Rfam family "Bacterial small subunit ribosomal RNA", at positions 28 to 507 of the family's 1533-position model. The record is from RNAcentral.